CAAACUGCUCGAAUCUAGUCAAAUACAACCCAAUAACCUCAUAAAAGCCAUAAAAAUCAAUCUCAUAUAAUAAAAUUCAAAUCUUUAAUCAAAUACACAAAGUCAACCAAAAAUUUAACCCAGGCCUACUCCCAGGAAACCGAUAAAACUCACAAAUCCUAACUAUUCAUUCUAAUACGAGUCCAAAUUUAUUAGUUUCAUCCAAAAUCAAUUCCAAACCGGGAUUCAAAUCUCAUAUAUUCACUUUCCAAUCUAGCACAACCCCCCCCCCCCCUCCCCCGCCCAAAUUCCACUUUAAAAUCCAUGGCUUUAGGUGUAGAAAUCCAUAGAAAAACAGGAUAUAAAGUCAAAUCCAUGUGUAAAUUCCUUUUCUCCAAUUGAGUGGUAAAAUUUCUCUUCAAAAUCUUCCACUCUUGAUGUCUAGGGACCAAAAUAAAAUAAAAAGUGGGUAAAAAUCCCAAAAUCACAACUUAAUUAUUCUGCCUAGUGAUAUGUAUCACGAUCGCGACAUACCCUUCGCAAUCGCAAAGAUCAAAAAUCUUCCCGGCUGAAAUUCCACUUAGAAAGUGCAAAGUACCUCACGUGAAAGCAAUGAACCCACAAGCCAAGCCUACAAGAACACGACCCAUGGCCUGCGAACGCGAAUGCAACCAAUUUGCCUGAUGCCCAACCUUUGUAAACGUGGCCCCCUACACACGAAUGCGAAGCACCAAUACUCACCCCUCCAUGAAAGUGAAUCUAGUCACGCAAAUGCGAAGAGUAAAUCUUCGCUUACCAACUCCUCUAUUCCACGAUCACAAGACAAGCUCUACGAUCACGAAUGAAAACCACCCUAAAUCACAUCCGAGUCCUCCAGGACCCUGUCCAAUCAUGCCAACAAGUUUCAAUACCUAAUACAAACUUAUCCAAGGGCUUGAAACACAAUGAAUAACAUCAAAAUUAAUAAUAGUUAAUCAAAAUCCUUCUCAUAUGUUUCAAACAUUCAAACUUCUAACUAAACGUCUGAUUCAACUUCAUCCAAACUUUGCACACAAGUUUCAAAUGAAAUAACAAACCUAUUUCAAGUUCCGGAACAACAAUCCAAAUAUGAUACCAUCAAAGUCAACUCCCAGUCAAACUUAGGAACUCUCCAUACCUACAAGUUGCUAACUUUCGACAAAUAGAGCCCAAAUAUCAUAGGAACCUCUAAAUACAAAUAUGAACAUAUUCCUAAGUCCAAAAUUACCCUACAAACCUAUUGGAACUAUCCAAAUAUAGAUCCGAGAUCAUUUAUAUAAAAGUCAAACUUUGAUUAACUCUUACAACUUAAGCCUCCAAAAAUGAAACUAAGUAUUGCAAUUCACUCUCUAACCUUCCCUAAGCCAAACCAACCAUCCCUGCAAGUUACAAAGAUCAAAUAAAUAUACGGGAAGUAUCAAAUAGGAGAACGGGCUCAAGUUCAUAAAAGGACUGAUCGGGUCGUUACAAUCUAUUGCUAGAAAAAAAAAUUGACCACUCACAGGAUCAGAAUUGGAGAAAAUCAAUGGAUUCUGAUGGGGAGUAGAUAGCUAAGGAAGCAACCAGUUUCUUUAAAGACUUAUUCACUCAACCACAUUACUAUAAUGAUCUCAGUAAUCUAGCUUGCAUUAACAAGUUGAUUACAGAUAAAGACAAUGAACUACUCACUACAAGGCUUAUAGAGAAGGAGAUUAAAGACAUAGUCUUUAACAUGAAUCCAGAUUCAGCUCCUGGACCUGAUGGAUAUACAACAACCUUCUUUAAAGAGGCAUGGGAUAUUAUUUCCUUGGAUCUUACUAAUCUAGCUUGCUAUUUGUUUUUUGCAAUUCAUGAACUACCUAAAUACGUCACUCGCACUUGCUUGAUUCUCAGAGCUGUCACACUUUCUUUUUACACCCGCGGGGUAUAAAAGGGAGUUUUUCCAAUUAAAGUGACAUUAUUCGAUAUGUGAUUAUUUUAUUUAUUUUUCAGAGUCGCCAUUUAAAAUAAUUUAUUUGGUAUUCCAAGUCACCGGUUUAUUUUAAAUCCCAAAUCGAGGAAAAUCUGACUUUAUUUAAAAAUCUGCGAAACCAAAAAAACUAGGUAAGGAAUUCUGUUAACCCGAGAGAAGGUGUUAGGCAUUUCCGGGUUUCGUAGUUCGAGCACAAUCGCUUAACUAUUAAUAAUUGGCCUAAUUAUCUGAUUUAUUAUAUGUUUUAAACCUAUUGUGCAUUUUUAACUUUAUUACCGCUUUUAAUUAUUUUAACCGCUUUGUAGGAUUUAUGGAAUUAUUUCUUGAACAAAUUACGAUUGUCGUACACUUGCCAUUUUGGAACACACCGCAAACCACGCUACAUGAAAUGCACUCACGAUUCGCGAUAUGUUUUUUUUUAUUAUUGUUCGAAGUUGUUAUGAUCGGAUCACAUAAAAUACACACCCGAAUUGGGAAUUAUGUAUCACGACUAUACCACGGGAACCAUACUCAUAGCUGUAAUAAUUUAAUUAUGCGCCUAAAGCAAACUACGCAUGUAAUGAUUGCAAACCUUCAUUAUAUGGCUACCUAGCACCAAUUACCCAAAGUCACGUUAGACUAGGUAUAAGUGAACAAAUAAUGCAAAUCCACGACUUUAAUAAAGUAAAUUUAUUUUUCCUUGGUGUUAAAAAGGAAACAACCAACACAAUAGCUUUUGACAUGUACAGGUAGGUUAAUAUUACAUAAGCAACAAAACAACAAUUUCAAAUCUAGGUGUGGCCUAAUUUGAAUUUUGCUCAAUAAAAAACAAUAAGUUGCAUCAAUUUAACUAAUAACCUAUUUGGUCAAGCUUCGUUUUGGCCAAAAGUGUUUUUUUUGGUAAAAAGUAUUUUUGGCCAAAAAUUGAGGUAUUUGACCAAGCUUUUUGGAAGGAAAAAAGUACUUUUGAGGAAAGCAAAAGCAGUUUUAGAGAAACAGAAAAAAGUAAUUUCUCUCCAAAAGCACUUUUUUGAGAAGCACUUUUGAGAAAAAUAUACUUAUAAGUAGUUUUUUAAAGCUUGGUCAAAUACUAAUUGCUGCUCAGAAGUGUUUUUCAAACUAAUUAGCCAAACACAAACUGUUUAUCACCAAAAAUACUUUUGAAAAAAGCACUUUUAAAAAAACACUUCUCAAAAUAAGCUGAUUUUUGUAGCUUGGCCAAACAGGUAUAAACCAUAUGACGAAACAGUAGAGUAAAGACAUGGGAAAGGAACUAGCUACAGAUAAAGGUAAAUGACACAUGUUACAAGCCAAAUACUAGUACUGGUUUUUUUUUGUGCCAUACUGCCAUACAUCAUAACAGAUGAAUCUUGGAGUUUCCUUUUUGAUAAUUUCUUAGUACUUUUAUCACUACUGUUUGAUCUGUACUAUUCUAUUUUCUCAAGUUUAGCUUUGUACUAAUAUAACGUAUUUUUUCAUUUGAUUUGUUGUUUGGUUGUCCACAAAUAUAUGAGCAAAAGGAAUGGAACAUUCAUUUCUAGAUUUUGUUUCGCUGCUGGUGGAAUAUGCUUAGUCGUUUUAGAAUCGCUGUAAGCUCAGUGAUUUUUUUUUUCUUUCUCAGUAGAGAUAUAUCACAAGGCAAGAUAGUAGAUUAGAAAUUAAUGUAGAAAAGUCAGUUUUCAAUUCGUAACUUCUUAAACAUUGCUCAGGAUCCAAGUUGCAACAGCAUUUAGGAAAGACAAACAUUUCAUUUGGGAUACAGAGAUUUUGAAAAUAUGAAAGCAGAAAACAUACCGAUCAGCUCUAUCGAACCCAAAUCUAGCACCAAAAAUAAAAUGCAACGGAAAGUUUUCUCUGGGUCACAUUGUUGAUAAAAUUCUUCAAUACUUCUAUGUUUCUUCUGAGAAUUUUUUCAGAUUCUUUGGCUAAGUGGGGAUAAGUAGAGUAUGAGAGGCAUGAAAAUGGGUCUAUAUUUUCAGGUCUCCUUCUUCCGUCUUUUCUGAAUGAGAGUCUGGUUUUUUGAGGGAGAAGAAGAGGGAAUGAGAAGAAAGGGGAAGCUGUGCUAGGUUUUUUUCAGCUAAAGGGGGAGGGUCCAAUUCUUUCAGAGAGGUCUGUUUGGAGGAGAUGAUGAUGAAGAAACCAGAAACGGCGCUAGGGUUGGGGUGUGUGUUUUACUGAAAAAGAAAACGAGUGAAAAAGGUGUCGGUGAUCAAAUCCCAAUCAAAAAAGUGGCGGCUAGACAUUCAGGGAAACGAGGCAUAAUGAAUAACUUUAAGCCACAAGAAGCAAUGUCAAAACCAACUAGAAUUCUUAGGAAUGAGACCAAAGAGCAAUGCGUCCCCUCUAAAAAUGAUGUACCCCUGGAAUAUAUGAGAGUUCUUAGCUAAAUUCCAGGAAAAUCACGUGAAAAGUGGAGGAGAUGGAUGUGCAUUGUGUUUUUUCGUUUUAGUAAGGUGGAAACGGCUGGGAGCUUUUUUUUUGCCUUAGGUUCUCCAAUGUUCAAG
This 4431-nucleotide long non-coding RNA is filed under the name Nicotiana tabacum (common tobacco). RNAcentral's name for it is "long non-coding RNA (NTAB_LNC006511)". The record is from RNAcentral. Lineage: Eukaryota; Viridiplantae; Streptophyta; Magnoliopsida; Solanales; Solanaceae.